UACAGAGGUCUCAAGCGUUGUUCGGAUUCAUUGGGCGUAAAGGGUGCGUAGGCGGCGCGGUAGGUCGGGUGUGAAAUCUCGGGGCUUAACUCCGAAACUGCAUUCGAUACUACCGUGCUUGAGGACUGGAGAGGAGACUGGAAUUUACGGUGUAGCGGUGAAAUGCGUAGAUAUCGUAAGGAAGACCAGUGGCGAAGGCGGGUCUCUGGACAGUUCCUGACGCUGAGGCACGAAGGCCAGGGGAGCAAACGGG
Molecule: ribosomal RNA, 253 nt
Filed under: uncultured bacterium
Lineage: Bacteria
Description: partial 16S ribosomal RNA
Rfam family: Bacterial small subunit ribosomal RNA
Source: RNAcentral